Molecule: ribosomal RNA, 253 nt
Filed under: uncultured bacterium
Lineage: Bacteria
Description: partial 16S ribosomal RNA
Rfam family: Bacterial small subunit ribosomal RNA
Source: RNAcentral
UACGAAGGGGGCUAGCGUUGCUCGGAUUGACUGGGCGUAAAGGGCGCGUAGGCGGUUCGUACAGUCAGACGUGAAAUUCCUGGGCUCAACCUGGGGGCUGCGUUUGAUACGUGCGGACUUGAGUGCGGAAGAGGGUCGUGGAAUUCCCAGUGUAGAGGUGAAAUUCGUAGAUAUUGGGAAGAACACCGGUGGCGAAGGCGGCGACCUGGUCCGAUGCUGACGCUGAGGCGCGAAAGCGUGGGGAGCAAACAGG